RNAcentral lists this long non-coding RNA (272 nucleotides) under Homo sapiens (human). RNAcentral's name for it is "novel transcript, antisense to FBXW9". Lineage: Eukaryota; Metazoa; Chordata; Mammalia; Primates; Hominidae. The record is from RNAcentral.
CACCAACAUGUCAGGUUUAUUUCUCCUUCGCUCUCAACUGAGAGCGGGGCAUCCAAAUCAUAACAAAACCAGGGCCCAAGAGUGGGAAGCGGCCCCCUGGGUGGGCCUGAACCCCAAUUUCACCCUUCCCCCGGGCAUAGGGCCCAGGCCCACGGGGCGGAGGCAGCACCAACAUUGGGGAUGGUCCCCCAAGAACAGAGGAGGAAGCCCAGCCUCCGGCAGGCAGUAUCCACAUCCACGCCCACCUGCUCAGGCCUGCAGCCUCCAGACCU